Molecule: ribosomal RNA, 108 nt
Filed under: Acanthosepion pharaonis
Lineage: Eukaryota; Metazoa; Mollusca; Cephalopoda; Sepiida; Sepiidae
Source: RNAcentral
UGGUCACAUCACAUUAAAACACAGAUUCCCAUACGAUCACCAAAGUUAAGCAACAUUGACCCUGGUCGUACCUAGAUGGGUGAACUUGAGAAUACUAGGUGCUGUAAG